UAGCUCAGUCAGUUGAGCGUGGCGCUAACAACGCCAAGGUCGCGGGUUUGAUUCCCGU
Molecule: transfer RNA, 58 nt
Filed under: Apaloderma vittatum (bar-tailed trogon)
Lineage: Eukaryota; Metazoa; Chordata; Aves; Trogoniformes; Trogonidae
Rfam family: tRNA
About the family: Transfer RNA (tRNA) molecules are approximately 80 nucleotides in length. Their secondary structure includes four short double-helical elements and three loops (D, anti-codon, and T loops).
Source: Rfam by way of RNAcentral